AUAUUGCACAAUGGGCGCAAGCCUGAUGCAGCCAUGCCGCGUGUAUGAAGAAGGCCUUCGGGUUGUAAAGUACUUUUAGCGGGGAGGAAGGAAGUACGGUUAAUAACCGUGCUGAUUGACGUUACCCGCAGAAGAAGCACCGGCUAACUCCGUGCCUGCCGCCGCGGUAAUACGGAGGGUGCAAGCGUUAAUCGGAAUUACUGGGCGUAAAGCGCACGCAGGCGGUCUGUCAAGUCGGAUGUGAAAUCCCCGGGCUCAACCUGGGAACUGCAUUCGAAACUGGCAGGCUUGAGUCUUGUAGAGGGGGGUAGAAUUCCAGGUGUAGCGGUGAAGUGCGUAGAGAUCUGGAGGAAUACCGGUGGCGAAGGCGGCCCCCUGGACAAAGACUGACGCUCAGGUGCGAAAGCGUGGGGAGCAAAC
RNAcentral lists this ribosomal RNA (420 nucleotides) under uncultured bacterium. Its description in RNAcentral is "bacterial SSU rRNA". It matches the Rfam family "Bacterial small subunit ribosomal RNA", at positions 361 to 773 of the family's 1533-position model. The record is from RNAcentral.